GAUGAACGCUGGCGGCGUGCCUAAUACAUGCAAGUCGAGCGAACAGACGAGGAGCUUGCUCCUCUGACGUUAGCGGCGGACGGGUGAGUAACACGUGGAUAACCUACCUAUAAGACUGGGAUAACUUCGGGAAACCGGAGCUAAUACCGGAUAAUAUAUUGAACCGCAUGGUUCAAUAGUGAAAGACGGUUUUGCUGUCACUUAUAGAUGGAUCCGCGCCGCAUUAGCUAGUUGGUAAGGUAACGGCUUACCAAGGCAACGAUGCGUAGCCGACCUGAGAGGGGGAUGGGCCACACUGGAACUGAGACACGGUCCAGACUCCUACGGGAGGCAGCAGUAGGGAAUCUUCCGCAAUGGGCGAAAGCCUGACGGAGCAACGCCGCGUGAGUGAUGAAGGUCUUCGGAUCGUAAAACUCUGUUAUUAGGGAAGAACAAAUGUGUAAGUAACUAUGCACGUCUUGACGGUACCUAAUCAGAAAGCCACGGCUAACUACGUG
This 497-nucleotide ribosomal RNA is filed under the name uncultured bacterium. Its description in RNAcentral is "partial 16S ribosomal RNA". It matches the Rfam family "Bacterial small subunit ribosomal RNA", at positions 28 to 507 of the family's 1533-position model. The record is from RNAcentral.